Molecule: non-coding RNA, 121 nt
Filed under: Saccharothrix sp. ST-888
Lineage: Bacteria; Bacillati; Actinomycetota; Actinomycetes; Pseudonocardiales; Pseudonocardiaceae
Also listed under: 1 other name
Source: RNAcentral
CCUCCCCUUACAAGUGAUGGUUCGAGGAAGCCGGUGCAAGUCCGGCGCGGUCGCGCCACUGUGAGUCCACCACCGCCAGGCGGUGGGCAAGUCAGACACUCCCCAUCACGCCCGCUCCAUC